RNAcentral lists this ribosomal RNA (541 nucleotides) under Kurtzmaniella natalensis. RNAcentral describes it as "eukaryotic LSU rRNA". It matches the Rfam family "Eukaryotic large subunit ribosomal RNA", at positions 89 to 650 of the family's 3401-position model. The record is from RNAcentral. Lineage: Eukaryota; Fungi; Ascomycota; Pichiomycetes; Serinales; Debaryomycetaceae.
GCGAGUGAAGCGGCAAAAGCUCAAAUUUGAAAUCUGGCACUUUCAGUGUCCGAGUUGUAAUUUGAAGAAGGUAACUCUGGAGUUGGCCCUUGUCUAUGUUCCUUGGAACAGGACGUCACAGAGGGUGAGAAUCCCGUGCGAUGGGGUGUCCAAUUCUAUGUAGAGUGCUUUCGAAGAGUCGAGUUGUUUGGGAAUGCAGCUCUAAGUGGGUGGUAAAUUCCAUCUAAAGCUAAAUAUUGGCGAGAGACCGAUAGCGAACAAGUACAGUGAUGGAAAGAUGAAAAGAACUUUGAAAAGAGAGUGAAAAAGUACGUGAAAUUGUUGAAAGGGAAGGGCUUGAGAUCAGACUCGGUAUUUUGCGAUCCUAUCCUUCGUGGAGAGGUUUCAUUUGCAGCUUACCGGGCCAGCAUCGGUUUGAAUGGUAGGAUAAUGACAUUGGAAUGUGGCUUUUCGGAGUGUUAUAGCCUUUGUUGAUACUACCUAUUUAGACCGAGGACUGCGUCUUUGACUAGGAUGCUGGCAUAAUGAUCUUAAGCCGCCC